Acanthosepion pharaonis is the source of this 113-nucleotide non-coding RNA. The record is from the annotation of a GenBank genome assembly. NCBI's taxonomy places the organism in Eukaryota, Metazoa, Mollusca, Cephalopoda, Sepiida, Sepiidae.
UUGCAGCCAUUUCACAUUGAAACACCAGUUCUCGUUCGAUUACCGAAGUUAAGCAACGUCGAGGCUGGUCAGUAUCGUGAUGAAUGACCACUUGGGAAUACCAGGUGUUACAA